GACGAACGCUGGCGGCGUGCUUAACACAUGCAAGUCGAGCGGUAAGGCCCUUUCGGGGGGUACACGAGCGGCGAACGGGUGAGUAACACGUGGGUGACCUGCCCUCAGCUCUGGGAUAAGCCUGGGAAACCGGGUCUAAUACUGGAUAUGACUCCAUGACGCAUGUUGUGGGGUGGAAAGCCUUGUGCGGCUGAGGAUGGGCCCGCGGCCUAUCAGCUUGUUGGUGGGGUGAUGGCCUACCAAGGCGACGACGGGUAGCCGGCCUGAGAGGGCGACCGGCCACACUGGGACUGAGACACGGCCCAGACUCCGUACGGGAGGCAGCGAGGUGGGGAAUCUUGCGCAAUGGGACGAAAGCCUGACGCAGCGACGCCGCGUGAGGGAUGACGG
RNAcentral lists this ribosomal RNA (390 nucleotides) under uncultured bacterium. RNAcentral's name for it is "bacterial SSU rRNA". It matches the Rfam family "Bacterial small subunit ribosomal RNA", at positions 28 to 414 of the family's 1533-position model. The record is from RNAcentral.